UCCGGUGCCGCCGAACGCGGCCUAACAGGGAAUCCGGUGAGAAUCCGGAACAAUACCCGUUGCUGUAUUUCCCAUAUCCGCCCAAGGGCGGGGUCUUGCGCAUCAUGCCACUGCCUGCAGGCGGGAAGGCGCGGAAGACGGGAUAAGCCAGAAGACCUGCCGGGAUGCAU
RNAcentral lists this non-coding RNA (170 nucleotides) under Candidatus Cryptobacteroides merdigallinarum. The record is from RNAcentral. Lineage: Bacteria; Pseudomonadati; Bacteroidota; Bacteroidia; Bacteroidales.